RNAcentral lists this ribosomal RNA (200 nucleotides) under uncultured bacterium. RNAcentral describes it as "partial 16S ribosomal RNA". It matches the Rfam family "Bacterial small subunit ribosomal RNA", at positions 524 to 721 of the family's 1533-position model. The record is from RNAcentral.
UACGUAGGGUCCGAGCGUUUGUCCGGAAUUACUGGGCGGUAAAGCGUGCGCAGGCGGCUUUCCAAGCGCCCACGUGAAAGCCCCCGGGCUCAACCCGGGAGGGUCGUGGCGAACUGGGGACUUGAGGCCGGUAGAGGUGGUGGAACUCCUGGUGGAGUGGUGAAAUGCGUAGAGAUCAGGAAGAACACCCGUGGCGAAGG